ACUAUUUGGUGCCUCGGUUUGGUCUGUCGUGACGACGACGCAAGUGGUUGCCAGGAGGCAUCUGCUUGCGUGCCAAAGGAUCGUCCUGAUCGAACAGUGUCCACCAUGGCGCUGCAAGUACUAGCUGGAGCCCCCCCGUUUGAUCUGGUUGCCAGACGCCUGGCAAUCAGCUUCAAACUAAAGCGUGACUACCCGCUGGAGGAGAGCGAUUGGCUGUACGGCGAAGAUUUGUGGGUGGCAACGCAGAUGGGAUGAUGGUGACUCCCCAGGUCGGGUGACGCACCGCUUCAUCCCGAACGCAGGCUUCGUCUACAGCGAACGAAGGUUUGGCUUCACGCUGCGCGCUGGAUUCCUGCUGCCGGGCCACGGAUCGCUCAAUGCAUUUCUCCAUGGAAAAAGCCUUAGCGACACGCCAGCAUGUCUAUGCGGCGCAGAACGCGAGGAUUGGCAGCACUUCCUAUGUGCUUGCUCCUCUAUACAGACUUGCGAGACCUCGAUGGACUUGGAGUGCAGUACACGGAUGGCGACUGGACCUUCUCCGAUAUGACGGCUUCUCAGGAGAGAAUGCGGACUCUCGACAGGUUCGCCGGACUGGCGUUCUCCAGGCGACAGCAGCUGCUGAAUGCGCAAGCGGCGCACGGGCUGGGUGGAUUCCCUAUCCAGGCCGGUCGGGGCUAAAAGGGAGGAGCGAGCUGAGUCCUUAAGAUCGGUACCACGGGUUGUGCAGUUCCAAGGCUGCACAUUGAGGUCGGUCCCCUAGUGGGAGUAUCGUGGUGGCUGUGAUUGAUACCCAAACGUUACGCUAGGAUCCUCGUGGAGUUGCGCUCUCAACCGGGUGCCGAGACCCAUAGAUCGGAAGACGUGUUAGAUACACCUCGCCACUCACCAAGGGGGAUUGUAUGCCCGACCAGGAUACUUUCAAUUGGUACCAGAAGAGUCGCUAUGUACAUAGCUAUAGCUUCUUUUUAGGGGCGCUAACUGGCGCAUUGUACCAGGUUCCUGCGUAUGUAGCGGUGGUGCGUGAUGGCGUGAUAUAUGUAUAUAUAUCGCACUAAUCGAGGCUAAGCUGCAAAUAAACAUUAGACGCCGUGGUUGAAAUCCCUCCCUGAGGAACCGCCACGUAAAAUAAAUCUGAGAGAUCAGAUUCAUUCUGUCCCUAUCUACUGGGGGCCACCAACCCUUGACUGUUAUGGAGUCAAAAUUGGAAGUGUCCUUCGUGGCACGAAGCCUGACCGGAGGCUUUAUUCUGGUACCACGGGAGCCGAGCCCGCGGAACUCGUUUCCGUCCUGGCUAUGGUUGCGGCCCCUUGGGGAGCUUCGUGGUGGUUUUGGCUAACACUCAAGCGAGUAGAGCUUGGGCUCGACGUGGAGGUUCAAUAUACAACCUGGUGCUGUGACCCACAGAUCAGCAGAGGUUUAGAUAGCCUCGCUCCACACCAGGGAGGAAGACAUGACCAAAACAGAUUAUCUUCAACUGGUACCGGAGGAACCGGGGCGCUGAUUGACGCUUAAAUUAAUCCUGUGCUUGGCACCGUGAGAUAAAGCCAAUACGGCAGGUGUUCACGUAAAACACAUUGACUUUAAUGUCCCUAUCUACUAUCUAGCGAGACCACAUCCAAGGGAACGGGCUUGGAAUAAUUAGCGGGGAAAGAAGACCCUUUUGAGCUUGACUCUAAUCUGGCAGUGUAAGGAGACAUAAGAGGUGUAGCAUAAGUGGGAGAUAUUAGAUUUCGGUUUGGUAUCGACAAUGAAAUACCACUACUCUUAUUGUUUCCUUACUUACUUGAUUAAAUGGAACGUGUAUCAUUUCCUAGCCAUUAUACGGAUAUAUUUAUUAUAUCUUAUGGUAUUGGGUUUUGAUGCAAGCUUCUUGAUCAAAGUAUCACGAGUUUGUUAUAUAAUCGCAAACAAAUUCUUUAAUGAGAAAAUGCAUUUAUGUAUUUUCAAUUUGAAAAUUUGGUAUAACUCCAAUUACUCAGGUAUGAUCCAAUUCAAGGACAUUGCCAGGUAGGUAGUUUGACUGGGGCGGUACAUCUCUCAAAUAAUAACGGAGGUGUCCCAAGGCCAGCUCAGUGCGGACAGAAACCACACAUAGAGCAAAAGGGCAAAUGCUGACUUGAUCUCGGUGUUCCGUACACACAGGGACAGCAAAAGCUCGGCCUAUCGAUCCUUUUGGUUUAAAGAGUUUUUAACAAGAGGUGUCAGAAAAGUUACCAUAGGGAUAACUGGCUUGUGGCGGCCAAGCGUUCAUAGCGACGUCGCUUUUUGAUCCUUCGAUGUCGGCUCUUCCUAUCAUUGUGAAGCAAAAUUCACCAAGCGUUGGAUUGUUCACCCAUGCAAGGGAACGUGAGCUGGGUUUAGACCGUCGUGAGACAGGUUAGUUUUACCCUACUAAUGACAAAACGUUGUUGCGACAGCAUUCCUGCGUAGUACGAGAGGAACCGCAGGUACGGACCAAUGGCACAAUACUUGUUCGAGCGAAAAGUGGUAUGACGCUACGUCCGUUGGAUUAUGCCUGAACGCCUCUAAGGUCGUAUCCGUGCUGGACUGCAAUGAUAAAUAAGGGGCAAUUUGCAUUGUAUGGCUUCUAAACCAUUAAAAGUUUAUAAUUUAUUUUAUAAACGACAAUGGAUGUGAUGCCAAUGUAAUUUGUAGCAUAGUAAAUUGGGAGGAUCGUCGAUCAACUGAUGCCGCGCUAGUUGCAUAUAAAAACAUUAUUU
RNAcentral lists this ribosomal RNA (2720 nucleotides) under Drosophila persimilis. RNAcentral describes it as "eukaryotic LSU rRNA". The stretch from base 1535 to 2702 matches the Rfam family "Eukaryotic large subunit ribosomal RNA", at positions 1891 to 3399 of the family's 3401-position model. Lineage: Eukaryota; Metazoa; Arthropoda; Insecta; Diptera; Drosophilidae. The record is from RNAcentral.